GCCAAGGUGUCUAGUCGCUGACAGUCUUGCUCUGAACGUAAUUCGUGUCUCCAAAAGUUUUUAAGUGCUUUUUUUCUCAUCUUUUUGAGGAUGUCAAACAAAUUUUCCACAUUUCCCUACAAACUUUGGCAACUGAUGAAUGAGUGCACUGAUGGUGCAAUCAGAUGGAAUGAUACUGGAGAAAGCAUCGUUAUUGACAAGACAAAAUUUUGCGACAGCACCUGUGUAGGGAGAAUUUUCAAACCUAUCCAGUGGAGCAGUUUCGUUCGCCAGCUCAAUAUGUACGGAUUUCGCAAAACUGCCAGCAUUCAUCAACACAGCCAAGAACCGUGUGUAUGCGAAUGUCACCUUACUACUUCUAUUUCCUACACCCACGAGCAUUUUCGUCCGUGGAACUAUGGAUCCUUAACUUUAGUCACACGUUCUCGCCAAAAAAGCAGAUCUGGCCUUUUAAAUACCGUCGCAGA
Molecule: long non-coding RNA, 467 nt
Organism: Daphnia pulicaria
Lineage: Eukaryota; Metazoa; Arthropoda; Branchiopoda; Diplostraca; Daphniidae
Exons: 3
Source: RefSeq, a predicted model, not a curated record